AAAGCCAAAAACAUUUUCUUCUGGCUCUUUACAGAGAAAGUUUGCCAACCCUUGUUCUAAAUGAAGACAAAUGAAUUUUAUGAAGACUUUACCCAGAAAGUGAAUAUAAGUUCUAUUUUUACGUGUACAUCAAUCCUGUUAAAUUCUGGGUAGAUAUUAUGAGUGAAUUCACUUUUUCCAUAUAGAUUCAGAGCAACUUGAAAGGGGUGUUUUGUUCUUGGAGGGGGUUAUGUUGAUACCCUGCUGCUAUCUUGAUUAUACCCAGGAAUGAGGAUGGGAGAGAGACCAGAGUAGCCAAAGAAAGCCACGUAAUUUUACACAGCCAAUGAGUUACAGUCACUUAAGUUAAAUUUUAAAAUGUAUGGCCUGAAACCCCAGGCUGAAAUAAAGAGGGCUAGACCAGGCGGGGGAAUUGUAGGCUGAAGAGUAGAUCUCUUGAGUCACAGAAAGAGGUUAGGAGGUAAGCAGUUUUUAGAACAGGACAGGAAAGGAAGGAGCAGAAUGUGACCACGUCUGGAACUAGAG
This is a non-coding RNA of Ceratotherium simum simum (southern white rhinoceros), 525 nucleotides long. Lineage: Eukaryota; Metazoa; Chordata; Mammalia; Perissodactyla; Rhinocerotidae. The record is from RefSeq and is a predicted model, not a curated record.